Molecule: ribosomal RNA, 492 nt
Filed under: uncultured bacterium
Lineage: Bacteria
Description: partial 16S ribosomal RNA
Rfam family: Bacterial small subunit ribosomal RNA
Source: RNAcentral
AGUGAACGCUGGCGGUAGGCCUAGCACAUGCAAGUCGAACGGCAGCACAGUAAGAGCUUGCUCUUACGGGUGGCGAGUGGCGGACGGGUGAGGAAUACAUCGGAAUCUACUUUUUCGUGGGGGAUAACGUAGGGAAACUUACGCUAAUACCGCAUACGACCUACGGGUGAAAGCAGGGGAACUUCGGACCUUGCGCGAAUGAAUGAGCCGAUGUCGGGUUAGCUAGUUGGCGGGGUAAAGGCCCACCAAGGCGACGAUCCGUAGCUGGUCUGAGAGGAUGAUCAGCCACACUGGAACUGAGACACGGUCCAGACUCCUACGGGAGGCAGCAGUGGGGAAUAUUGGACAAUGGGCGCAAGCCUGAUCCAGCCAUACCGCGUGGGUGAAGAAGGCCUUCGGGUUGUAAAGCCCUUUUGUUGGGAAAGAAAAGCAGCAGGUUAAUACCCCGCUGUUCUGACGGUACCCAAAGAAUAAGCACCGGCUAACUUCGUG